GACGUAGGGCGCGAGCGUUGUCCGGAUUUAUUGGGCGUAAAGAGCUCGUAGGCGGCUCAUUGCGUCAACCGUGAAAACCAGCAGCUCAACUGUUGGCUUGCGGUUGAUACGGGUGGGCUGGAGUUCGGUAGGGGAGACUGGAAUUCCUGGUGUAGCGGUGAAAUGCGCAGAUAUCAGGAGGAACACCGGUGGCGAAGGCGGCAUUCUGGACCGACAUUGACGCUGAGGAGCGAAAGCCAGGGGAGCAAACGGG
This 253-nucleotide ribosomal RNA is filed under the name uncultured bacterium. Its description in RNAcentral is "partial 16S ribosomal RNA". It matches the Rfam family "Bacterial small subunit ribosomal RNA", at positions 524 to 776 of the family's 1533-position model. The record is from RNAcentral.